AAGCUGAAUUUAAAUCGUACUCGGCUUGAUAUAAAAUAGCUCCCUUGGUGAACGGAGAGCAUCGACUCAAGGGACAGACAUGAAGUGGUCUGUGGUAGUCGUUCUGUUGUCGCUUGUGGUGGUGGCGAACUGCAACCCCUUCGUCAUCGCUUCAGCGAUCGCCAAUGUCAUUGGGGCCAUCAUCAAGGCCGUCUCGAAUUCGGAAAAGCGGUCUGUGAUCGUCGAGAACCACGGUCGUCAUCAUGCACAUCUUUGGUGUGCCUCCAAGAACGACAGAAUCGGCGGAGCCGGAGGUAUUUGGAUAGCACCGGGACAGUCUCUGGGAUGGACUUUCCGCAAAACGCCGAGCACCCAGUUCUGGUGCACGAUGGACUGGUGGGGUCAACGCGUCGGAUGGGACGUCUACGUCCACAAUUGGAAAGACGCACCGAAGAUCACCAAGUGGCACAUCCGUAACGACGGUGUCUACGAUGAAUGGCGCGGACGCAAAUGGCGAGGCCUUCGCUCGUAGAAAUUUCGCCUCCCCCUGAACAGUCUCACUCGGCCUGCUGGGCGAUCCUCAAGCUGAAUAUCGUGGGCACUGUCAUUGAAACUCGUAGAAAUUCGGGAGCUUGCUAAUAAAGUCGCGGAAACGAUAGAUUUUCCGAUAAAUAC
Long non-coding RNA from Galendromus occidentalis (western predatory mite), 654 nucleotides. RefSeq lists it as uncharacterized. The transcript is spliced from 2 exons. The record is from RefSeq and is a predicted model, not a curated record. NCBI's taxonomy places the organism in Eukaryota, Metazoa, Arthropoda, Arachnida, Mesostigmata, Phytoseiidae.